GACUAACGCUGGCGGCGUGUCUUAGACAUGCAAGUCGAACGGGUUGCUAUUUUGUAGCAAUACAGAAUAGCGCUAGUGGCGAACGGGUGAGUAAUACCUAAAUAACUUCCCUUAGAGUGGAGCAUAACUCCGAGAAAUCGGUGCUAAUUCUCCAAUUCUCGUUGAACAUAAGUUUUUCGAGGAAAGGCUUCGGUCGCUCUAAGAUAGGUUUUUGGCCUAUCAGUUUGUUGGUGAGAUAACAGCUCACCAAGACUAUAACGGGUAGGGGGUGUGAGAGCAUGACCCCCCACAUGGGAACUGCGACACGGUCCCAACUCCUACGGGAGGCAGCAGUCUAGAAAUUUGGGCAAUGGGCGAAAGCCUGACCCAGCGACGCCGCGUGAGGGAUGAAGUCCCUCGGGAUGUAAACCUCUGUUGAGGGGAACGAUAAUGACGGUACCCCUCGAGGAAGCCUCGGCUAACUCCGUGCCAGCAGCCGCGGUAAUACGGAGGAGGCAAGCGUUGUCCGGAAUCACUGGGCGUAAAGGGUGUGUAGGUGUCCUGAUGGGUCAGGCGUGAAAUCCAACGGCUUAACUGUUGAAGUGCGUCUGAAACUAUCGGGAUUGAGGACAUGAGGGGAGAGUGGAACUCGCGGUGUAGCGGUAGAAUGCGUGGAUAUCGCGAGGAAUGCCGAUGGCGAAGGCGGCUCUCUAGUAUGCCCGAGAGGAGCGAAAACCCGGGAGACACGGUCCUGACACUGAAACACGAAAGCUGGGGGAGCAAACGGGAUUAGAUACCCCGGUAGUCUCAGCCUUAAACGAUGUACACUUGGCAUGCGCCAGUAUGGUACGUGCCGUAGGUAACCUGUUAAGUGUACCGCCUGGGGAGACGCUCGCAAGGGU
This 881-nucleotide ribosomal RNA is filed under the name uncultured Chloroflexota bacterium. RNAcentral describes it as "bacterial SSU rRNA". It matches the Rfam family "Bacterial small subunit ribosomal RNA", at positions 28 to 895 of the family's 1533-position model. The record is from RNAcentral. Lineage: Bacteria; Bacillati; Chloroflexota.